UGGGAAUUUUGGACAAUGGGCGAAANCCUGAUCCAGCAAUGCCGCGUGUGUGAAGAAGGCCUUCGGGUUGUAAAGCACUUUUGUCCGGAAAGAAAUCCUUGGCUCUAAUACAGUCGGGGGAUGACGGUACCGGAAGAAUAAGCACCGGCUAACUACGUGCCAGCAGCCGCGGUAAUACGUAGGGUGCAAGCGUUAAUCGGAAUUACUGGGCGUAAAGCGUGCGCAGGCGGUUUGCUAAGACCGAUGUGAAAUCCCCGGGCUCAACCUGGGAACUGCAUUGGUGACUGGCAGGCUAGAGUAUGGCAGAGGGGGGUAGAAUUCCACGUGUAGCAGUGAAAUGCGUAGAGAUGUGGAGGAAUACCGAUGGCGAAGGCAGCCCCCUGGGCCAAUACUGACGCUCAUGCACGAAAGCGUGGGGAGCAAACAGGAUUCAGUACCCUGGUAGUCCACGCCUAAACGAUGUCAACUAGUUGUUGGGGAUUCAUUCC
RNAcentral lists this ribosomal RNA (488 nucleotides) under uncultured bacterium. RNAcentral's name for it is "partial 16S ribosomal RNA". It matches the Rfam family "Bacterial small subunit ribosomal RNA", at positions 356 to 839 of the family's 1533-position model. The record is from RNAcentral.